AUACUGUGAGCUCGAUGAGUAGGGCGGGACACGUGGUAUCCUGUCUGAAUAUGGGGGGACCAUCCUCCAAGGCUAAAUACUCCUGACUGACCGAUAGUGAACCAGUACCGUGAGGGAAAGGCGAAAAGAACCCCGGCGAGGGGAGUGAAAAAGAACCUGAAACCGUGUACGUACAAGCAGUGGGAGCACGCUUAGGCGUGUGACUGCGUACCUUUUGUAUAAUGGGUCAGCGACUUAUAUUCUGUAGCAAGGUUAACCGAAUAGGGGAGCCGAAGGGAAACCGAGUCUUAACUGGGCGUUAAGUUGCAGGGUAUAGACCCGAAACCCGGUGAUCUAGCCAUGGGCAGGUUGAAGGUUGGGUAACACUAACUGGAGGACCGAACCGACUAAUGUUGAAAAAUUAGCGGAUGACUUGUGGCUGGGGGUGAAAGGCCAAUCAAACCGGGAGAUAGCUGGUUCUCCCCGAAAGCUAUUUAGGUAGCGCCUCGUGAAUUCAUCUCCGGGGGUAGAGCACUGUUUCGGCAAGGGGGUCAUCCCGACUUACCAACCCGAUGCAAACUGCGAAUACCGGAGAAUGUUAUCACGGGAGACACACGGCGGGUGCUAACGUCCGUCGUGAAGAGGGAAACAACCCAGACCGCCAGCUAAGGUCCCAAAGUCAUGGUUAAGUGGGAAACGAUGUGGGAAGGCCCAGACAGCCAGGAUGUUGGCUUAGAAGCAGCCAUCAUUUAAAGAAAGCGUAAUAGCUCACUGGUCGAGUCGGCCUGCGCGGAAGAUGUAACGGGGCUAAACCAUGCACCGAAGCUGCGGCAGCGACGCUGAUGCGUUGUUGGGUAGGGGAGCGUUCUGUAAGCCUGCGAAGGUGUGCUGUGAGGCAUGCUGGAGGUAUCAGAAGUGCGAAUGCUGACAUAAGUAACGAUAAAGCGGGUGAAAAGCCCGCUCGCCGGAAGACCAAGGGUUCCUGUCCAACGUUAAUCGGGGCAGGGUGAGUCGACCCCUAAGGCGAGGCCGAAAGGCGUAGUCGAUGGGAAACAGGUUAAUAUUCCUGUACUUGGUGUUACUGCGAAGGGGGGACGGAGAAGGCUAUGUUGGCCGGGCGACGGUUGUCCCGGUUUAAGCGUGUAGGCUGGUUUUCCAGGCAAAUCCGGAAAAUCAAGGCUGAGGCGUGAUGACGAGGCACUACGGUGCUGAAGCAACAAAUGCCCUGCUUCCAGGAAAAGCCUCUAAGCAUCAGGUAACAUCAAAUCGUACCCCAAACCGACACAGGUGGUCAGGUAGAGAAUACCAAGGCGCUUGAGAGAACUCGGGUGAAGGAACUAGGCAAAAUGGUGCCGUAACUUCGGGAGAAGGCACGCUGAUAUGUAGGUGAAGUCCCUCGCGGAUGGAGCUGAAAUCAGUCGAAGAUACCAGCUGGCUGCAACUGUUUAUUAAAAACACAGCACUGUGCAAACACGAAAGUGGACGUAUACGGUGUGACGCCUGCCCGGUGC
RNAcentral lists this ribosomal RNA (1490 nucleotides) under Escherichia coli. RNAcentral's name for it is "partial 23S ribosomal RNA". It matches the Rfam family "Bacterial large subunit ribosomal RNA", at positions 394 to 1869 of the family's 2925-position model. The record is from RNAcentral. Lineage: Bacteria; Pseudomonadati; Pseudomonadota; Gammaproteobacteria; Enterobacterales; Enterobacteriaceae.